RNAcentral lists this ribosomal RNA (338 nucleotides) under Dorometra aphrodite. RNAcentral's name for it is "partial large subunit ribosomal RNA". It matches the Rfam family "Bacterial large subunit ribosomal RNA", at positions 2089 to 2604 of the family's 2925-position model. Lineage: Eukaryota; Metazoa; Echinodermata; Crinoidea; Comatulida; Antedonidae. The record is from RNAcentral.
GCCCUGUCGAGCUUAAGAAAAUUUUUAUUAUAUACUUUUAAAAGAUAAUUUUAUACCCUAAAUACAUAUAUAAAUAAAAAAAUCUUUGGUUGGGGCAACCACGAAGAAAAAAUAACCUUCGUUUUUAAACAAAAAUAAACAAAUUUAAAAUUUCAUAAAAUAAAAUUGAUCCAGAAAAUCUGAUCAUAGAAAAAAGUUACCGCAGGGAUAACAGCGUUAUUUUCUUUAAGAGUUCUUAUUGACAAGAAAGUUUGCGACCUCGAUGUUGGACCGGGGUAUCCUAGAGGUGCAAAAGCCUCUAAAGGUAGGUCUGUUCGACCUUUAAAACCCUACGUGAU